UCCAUGCUGGGCCAGGCAUGAAUGCACCAGAUACUUGAUAAUGACAUCAUUGACUGUUCAAGUCAUAAUGACUGAACAAAUCCCAGGGUGGGGUUGCCUGGUCCUGAAUGGCCCUGGCCUGUAAGGGUCAGCACUGAACCAGCUUGUCAAGAUGAGCACUGAGUUAAAAAUCCUCUCUGCCGCUUCUGUGGGCUCGCAAGUGGAUCUGACUGUGACAGGCUGAAGAACAGCAGUCCCUGGCCACCUCCCCCAAUUAGCCCCCAGUCUCAACAACAGCCUGAGCAGACUUAGUGGGCAGGGAGGAGGCUGCUCCAGGGACAGAGCCCUACCUCAAGAGGAACUCCAGUGGAUUCCUGGGGACCAAGGAGGGUCCCCUACAGGUACAAGGACCACAGAGUAACAAGAUGAGAAAACACACCUCCAAGCCUCUUCUUCCUCUUCCCUUCGGGAGUUCAGACCUCUGAAGCUCUCUAGGAGACUUGCUGCCCUAAGGGCCGAGGUCAGGGACUUAGGGCUUCCUCAGGAUUGGUUCCUCUCUGGAGCCAUGAGAGCCAACCCCCUAACCCUGGAGGCCAGCAGCGUUGACCCCGGCUAUGUGCUGUCGAGCCCCCACCCUCCAGCUGAAAGGCCACAGGACUCCUCUCCAAGCAGAUAAAGAAACUAAAGAAACUGAGGUUCUGAGUGGCAGGGAGCUGGGACGACUGCUGGCAUUUCUGACAGUCUUGAGGCCUGCGUGCCUAUCCCCAUUGCAGGUGGGAGGGCAGAGGCUCAGAGGUGUGAGGGGGAGGCCUGGCUAGGAAAUGAAACCAAAUUUCUCUGCUGGAUGCUGGUUCCCUUUUUGAAAAACCCCCAGGGCUGCUGUGCAGGACACCGAGUGGAGAAGAAGUCACAAAGAGCGGCCCUUCUCAGAAAUCGAGUGGAGCCAGAAGCCUCAAGGUUCAGUCUCCUGAGCAAGGCCCGCAGGACGGCAAGGCUCGACCACAUCCCAGCAUGUGGUUCCAGGCCUCAGAUCUGUCCACGUCAGCCCACCACUGCCUUCAAAGUCAAGUCAGACAUGAGGGCUGCCACCUCGCCUGGCCUCUGCCAGCCUUCCCAGCAGCAAGCAUAAGACAGAGUCUGCCCUGGCCUUCAGGGAGCUUCUGGCUCACUUAGUGAGGGAACAGAUUGUGCAAAGUAAUGACACAUGUAUAUUUACACAUUAUGGUAAGUGUUUUAAAGGAAAAAUACAUAAUGGCAAGUGAGCAAACAACAGGGGUCAGAAAAGGCCUCUCAGGAAAUAGUGACACUUAGGCCCAGACAAACAAGGAGCAAGGUGACUUCAGGCAGAGAGAAAUGAGGGAAGCAAAAGCAGGCCACGUGUGAGAGGAGGAUGGGGAUGUGGGGAGCUGGAGACCACAUGGCCAGCAGCGUAUGGCACUGAGAAUCAACUGUCACUGCCACUGGAACCACUGAGCAUGCAGUGAGCAAGUAGGGAGCAGUGAGACCCCGCAGGUGACCUGCACAGGCCACACUGGCUACUGGAGAAGGGACUGGAGUUGAGGAGGGUCCAUGUGGGAGGCCUUGUUGGGAGAGGCCACUGCAGCAGAUGGGGCUGCAGGUGCUGGCAUAGCAUAGAGACAGCAGAAAGAUUCAAGUGCACUUUGGAAAUAGAACUGGCAGGAUGUGGGGAUGGCAAAUUGGAGGAAAAGGAUGAAAUUGAGAAUUCAGUUUUAGCCCGAUUAGCUUUGGCCAAUUUCUAGCCCAGGAGACAUCCAAUGGAGGUGUCCAGGGGUCAGAGGCCUGAGCCAGGAAAGUGACUAAAGAUUCUGAUGAGUUUGCCAGCCAGAGGGCCGAGCAAGCAAGCAAGAAGCAUCAGAAUGUGCAGGCCCCUAGGGACAGGAGCAGAGACGGAAUGGCAGAGCAGGAGGCAGCCACUGUGCUGGCCUGAGGACUGUGGCUCCCCGAAUGCUGCAGCAGAACAGCAGAACCGGUCCUAUCACCCAGUCAGUAACAGCCAUGCCUCCUGACCUCUCCCUCCAAGACAGAGCAGGGCACUCUGUCCCCUCAUCUUGCACCAGACCAGCAACAGCAUUCCUGCCCAGGUCCACUGGCCUCUGUACUCUGGCUGCUGGGCACCCCAGUGAGCCCAAGCCUGGCAGAGCCUAUACUCUGUCCACCAGCAAAGGGGCACAGGGUCUGCAGGAACCCAUGCCCAGAGCUCAUCUAUUACAAUGCAGUGAUAAACACAGUGGACUGCCACUGGGAUCUGCUGGGUGUUGGGUAACCCAACAAUAGGCUGGGGCCAGCCAGCAGGUGAGCUCAAUGGUUUCCUGUCUCUGCCCACACUCUGCUCUUGCUACUGUUCACAAGUACAGAUUCUGUGCUAGUGUGGUGCCAGGCCACAUAGGUGACAAAGUGAUCCCCAGCGGCAGACCCAGGCUCACCGCACCAAAGGGAAUGAAAUGAACUGGGCCCGAGGGCUGGGGCUCAGAGAUGGAUUCGGGCACAGGCCACCUGCCCAGGCUCGACUGCCCUCAGGCCCAUUUGAUGGCAUCUUGAGAGGAAGUGGUGUGGUGCGGAA
Molecule: long non-coding RNA, 2560 nt
Filed under: Homo sapiens (human)
Lineage: Eukaryota; Metazoa; Chordata; Mammalia; Primates; Hominidae
Description: HSALNT0357817
Source: RNAcentral